AGCGAACGUUUGCGGCGGGCUUAACACAUGCAAGUCGAACGAGAAUCCCUUCGGGGAGGAAAGUGGCGCACGGAUGCGUAACACGUGGAUAACCAACCCAUUGGUUUGGGACAACACCGGGAAACUGGUGCUAAUACCAGAUGUGUCGCAGCUGUCUUCAGGCGGUUGCGAGAAAGGCCCGCAAGGGUCGCCAACGGACGGGUCCGCGUCCCAUCAGCUAGUUGGUGAGGUAAUGGCUCACCAAGGCAAAGACGGGUAGCUGGUCUGAGAGGAUGAUCAGCCACACUGGAACUGAGACACGGUCCAGACUCCUACGGGAGGCAGCAGUGGGGAAUAUUGCGCAAUGGGCGAAAGCCUGACGCAGCCACGCCGCGUGAGCGAUGAAGGUCUUCGGAUCGUAAAGCUCUGUGGGGGGAGAAGAAGAAAGCCGGUGAAGAGCCGGCCCUGACGGUAUCCCCUUAGCAAGCACCGGCUAACUCCGUGCCAG
This 487-nucleotide ribosomal RNA is filed under the name uncultured bacterium. RNAcentral describes it as "bacterial SSU rRNA". It matches the Rfam family "Bacterial small subunit ribosomal RNA", at positions 29 to 511 of the family's 1533-position model. The record is from RNAcentral.